RNAcentral lists this long non-coding RNA (213 nucleotides) under Elaeis guineensis (African oil palm). RNAcentral's name for it is "long non-coding RNA (EGUI_LNC045077)". Lineage: Eukaryota; Viridiplantae; Streptophyta; Magnoliopsida; Arecales; Arecaceae. The record is from RNAcentral.
UUCAUCGUGUCAUAUGAUGGCUCUUUGAAUUGUAAGCGCAGAAGAGAAGGAAGAGUCCUUCUCUAUCAAGGAGUUUUAAUACCAAAUAAAUUGAGACACCCUUUCAUAUAUGCAUUGAGUUUAUGGAAGAGUCCUUAAUGUCAUGGACUCUUGAAUUCUUACGCACUCCCUUAAUUCCAUGCACCAUAAGAUGGCAUCUAGAUUUUUCUAUGC